GGGGCAAAUCGGGUGAUCGCCCCGCAGGGGCGGGGAGGAAAGUCCGAACUCCACAGGGCAGGGUGCCCGGAGAGAAUCCGGGACUCGAAAAGCGUAAGCUUUUCGGGAUGGAAAGUGUCACAGAAACGAUACCGCCUCCUGCCGUUUGAAGCACCCGUUUCCCGAAAGCGGGUGGGCAGGAGGUAAGGGUGAAAAGGCGGGGUAAGAGCCCACCGGCUGGCUCCCGAGAGGGAGAUUCCCCCGUGCAGGGGAAUGUGGUAACACCCAGGCCGGACAAACCCCACCCGGAGCAAGGCCAAAUAGGGGAGGAACCCUCCCAAUGGAGGGGCGAAGUGGCCCGCUUCGCCGGGACAAUGGUCCCACCACUCCCGGGUAGGCCGCUUAGAUAAAUGAUCACCCUCCCGUGGUACGGGAGACAGAAUUCGGCUUACAGAUUUGCCCCGGAU
This 446-nucleotide RNase P RNA is filed under the name Calditrichota bacterium. RNAcentral's name for it is "Calditrichaeota bacterium (hydrothermal vent metagenome) RNase P RNA component class A". It matches the Rfam family "Bacterial RNase P class A". From Rfam's summary of the family: Ribonuclease P (RNase P) is a ubiquitous endoribonuclease, found in archaea, bacteria and eukarya as well as chloroplasts and mitochondria. Its best characterised activity is the generation of mature 5'-ends of tRNAs by cleaving the 5'-leader elements of precursor-tRNAs. Lineage: Bacteria; Pseudomonadati; Calditrichota. The record is from RNAcentral.